This 449-nucleotide ribosomal RNA is filed under the name uncultured bacterium. RNAcentral describes it as "bacterial SSU rRNA". It matches the Rfam family "Bacterial small subunit ribosomal RNA", at positions 354 to 796 of the family's 1533-position model. The record is from RNAcentral.
GUGGGGAAUCUUGCGCAAUGGGCGAAAGCCUGACGCAGCAACGCCGCGUGGGGGAAGAAGGCCUUCGGGUUGUAAACCUCUGUCAGGAGGGACGAAGCCACCUGCGUUAAUAGCGUAAGGGGUGACGGUACCUCCAAAGGAAGCCCCGGCUAACUACGUGCCAGCAGCCGCGGUAAUACGUAGGGGGCGAGCGUUGUCCGGAUUUAUUGGGCGUAAAGAGCGUGUAGGCGGCCUUUCAAGUCCGAUGUGAAAUCUCACGGCUCAACCGUGAACCUGCAUUGGAAACUGUAAGGCUAGAGUCUGGAUGAGGAGAAUGGAAUUCCUGGUGUAGCGGUGAAAUGCGCAGAUAUCAGGAGGAACACCGGUGGCGAAGGCGGUUCUCUGGGACAGUACUGACGCUGAGACGCGAAAGCGUGGGGAGCAAACAGGAUUAGAAACCCUAGUAGUCC